AUUACCGAGUGAGGGCCCUCUGGGUCCAACCUCCCACCCGUGUUUAACGAACCUUGUUGCUUCGGCGGGCCCGCCUCACGGCCGCCGGGGGGCAUCCGCCCCCGGGCCCGCGCCCGCCGAAGACACCUGUGAACACUGUCUGAAGUUGCAGUCUGAGAAACUAGCUAAAUUAGUUAAAACUUUCAACAACGGAUCUCUUGGUUCCGGCAUCGAUGAAGAACGCAGCGAAAUGCGAUAAAUAAUGUGAAUUGCAGAAUUCAGUGAAUCAUCGAGUCUUUGAACGCACAUUGCGCCCUCUGGUAUUCCGGAGGGCAUGCCUGUCCGAGCGUCAUUGCUGCCCUCAAGCACGGCUUGUGUGUUGGGCCCCCGUCCCCCCGCCAGGGGGGACGGGCCCGAAAGGCAGCGGCGGCACCGCGUCCGGUCCUCGAGCGUAUGGGGCUCUGUCACCCGCUCUUGUAGGCCCGGCCGGCGCCAGCCGACCCCCCUCAAUCUAUUUUUUCAGGUUGACCUCGGAUCAGGUAGGGAUACCCGCUGAACUUAAGCAUAUCAAUAAGCGGAGGAAAAGAAACCAACCGGGAUUGCCCUAGUAACGGCGAGUGAAGCGGCAAGAGCUCAAAUUUGAAAGCUGGCCCCCUCGGGGUCCGCAUUGUAAUUUGCAGAGGAUGCUUCGGGAGCGGUCCCCAUCUAAGUGCCCUGGAACGGGCCGUCAUAGAGGGUGAGAAUCCCGUAUGGGGAUGGGGUGCCCGCGCCCGUG
This 754-nucleotide ribosomal RNA is filed under the name fungal sp. Its description in RNAcentral is "eukaryotic LSU rRNA". The stretch from base 505 to 754 matches the Rfam family "Eukaryotic large subunit ribosomal RNA", at positions 1 to 246 of the family's 3401-position model. Lineage: Eukaryota; Fungi. The record is from RNAcentral.